RNAcentral lists this transfer RNA (87 nucleotides) under Spiribacter salinus M19-40. RNAcentral's name for it is "tRNA-Leu (CAA) (tRNA-Leu-CAA-1-1)". It matches the Rfam family "tRNA". Rfam says of the family: Transfer RNA (tRNA) molecules are approximately 80 nucleotides in length. Their secondary structure includes four short double-helical elements and three loops (D, anti-codon, and T loops). The record is from RNAcentral. RNAcentral also lists the same sequence under 4 other names. Lineage: Bacteria; Pseudomonadati; Pseudomonadota; Gammaproteobacteria; Chromatiales; Ectothiorhodospiraceae.
GCCGGGGUGGCGGAACUGGUAGACGCGCCGGACUCAAAAUCCGGUUCUCGCAAGAGAGUGCGGGUUCGAUUCCCGCCCCCGGCACCA